Molecule: long non-coding RNA, 1955 nt
Organism: Peromyscus maniculatus bairdii (prairie deer mouse)
Lineage: Eukaryota; Metazoa; Chordata; Mammalia; Rodentia; Cricetidae
Source: RefSeq, a predicted model, not a curated record
GCUUGGCCUGGUGAUGGACUCUCUGGGAGACUUUUCUCUGUGGCCUCUGGGUAGGCCCUGCUGUGUGCCAGUGUAGCCGGGGGAAGUUAGGAGGCGGAGUAUUUGGUUUCCCCCGUGGCUGUGAUUCAACAUUUUACAAGCAACUCAGGGAGGGAAGGGUUCCUUUAGCUGACAGCUACCGUCAAGGCAGAGACUGAAGGCAGUAGCUUGAGGUGGAAAGCAUGGAGGAGCUGCUGGCUGGUUCACUCCCAGGCUCACGCUCUGCUGGUGUCUCAGCCCACGUCCACCUGCUCAGGCUGGGCCCUUCCCCGUCAUUUUACAACCAAGACAACCCUCCAGAGGUGGCCAUAGGCCACACUGACCCAGGCAAUCCCUCACUUGAGACCCUCUCUGAUGACUCUAGGCUGUGACAAGUUGACCUCUGAAGUUCACCAGGACCAACAGGGACUUUCUUUUUGACUGGUUCCUCAUUUCUACCUCUUCAGUGAAGAGACCAGUCACUAAUGCACUCCAAGCUGUGAAGUCAGAAUGCGUACCUAGGGUCCAGCUUACAAAGAAUUCCGUGUGAAGCCUUUGUUAUUGGAGGAGAGAGUGCCUGUCUCCAGAUGAUCAUCGUUGUGAAGAGCUGAACUUUAUACCAACCAGAUCCAGAUUUCACUUCCUGGCUACACUCUCCGACGUCACGACAAUAACUUGAGAUGCGACUCCACCAAGUUCACGGUGGAACAUUAAGGCUUCCUUACAGAGCAGUGGUGAGGGGUUAUGGGCAGAUAUGUAGACGAACUCAAAGCAGCCACACUGGAAAGUCUGUACCCGACCGAGGCCAUCCCCACGGCUGUACAAAUGGAACUCCCCUCCACCAUUCUUCCCCACUCUGCUCCGUCCCCCAAGACCGCUGCAGUCAGGGCAGUCGACUGGGUGGCUGAGUGGGUGGCAGGGGGUGGGGGUGGGGCUGAAUACUCAGGUGAGGGUCCCAUGACCUGCCACCCCUCCUCCUAUGAGGGAAGGCAGUCAAGAAGCCGAGCUGUGAUGAUCUUUUUCAGGCGGCUUAGCAGAACUCCUGAAGAUGGUGGUGGUCCGCCUGGAAGGACAUUCCUGCACAACACGGGGGCUCUGGCUUCGGGAACAGGGAAGUUCCCAGCCUUGGCCAGAAGCUGUCACGUGUUGGCAACUGGGAGGCUGCAUUGGAGGGCAGACGGAGCACGGAGCCAAACUGCACUCAAAUCUCAGCUCCAUAUACCUUGAACAAGUGGCUUAAUUUCUCUAUGCUUCCCUGUCUUGAUCUGUUAAAUUCAAGUACUAAGCCAGGCAUGGUAGUGCAGAUCUUUAAUGCCAGCCCUCGGGAGGCAGAGCUGGAGUUCCUGUGAGUUCCAGGACAGCCAGGGAUACACAGAGAGAUCCUAUCUCCAAAAAACUAUUAAAAAAAUUCAAUAUUAGCCUUAUACAGUUGUCGUGAUGGGUGUCUUAGUCACUGUUCCAUUGCCGUGAAGAGACACCAUGACCAAGGCAACUCAUAAAAGAAAGUAUUUGGGGGCUGGAUCACAGUUUCAGAGGGUCAGUUCAUCAUGAUUAUGGUGGGAACCUGGUGACGCAAAUGAGGCUGGAGCCUUAGCUGAGCUACAUCCUGACCAACAGGCCGAGAGAGACAAAGGGCCUGGCACAGGCUUUUGAAACCUCAACGCCCACCCCCAAUGAUGCACCUCCUCCAACAAGGCCACACCUCCUAAUCCUUCUCAAAUAGUGCCACACCCCGGUGACUGAACAUCCAAAUAUGUGAGCCUAUGGGGGCUAUUCUUAUUUACACACCACAGUGGUAAAAGGAGUUUAUGUGUAAAGAACUGGAAAGGAGAUGGCUCAGUGGGUAAAAACUUGCCUAGCAUGCACAAAGUGCAUGGUUCAACCCCCAGCUCUGCAUAAACAGGUGUGGUGGCACAUGCCUGUAAUCCUAGCACUCA